Molecule: ribosomal RNA, 482 nt
Filed under: uncultured bacterium
Lineage: Bacteria
Description: bacterial SSU rRNA
Rfam family: Bacterial small subunit ribosomal RNA
Source: RNAcentral
AUUGAACGCUGGCGGCAUGCCUUACACAUGCAAGUCGAACGGCAGCACGGACUUCGGUCUGGUGGCGAGUGGCGAACGGGUGAGUAAUGUAUCGGAACGUACCUUUCAGUGGGGGGAUAACGUAGCGAAAGUUACGCUAAUACCGCAUAUUCUGUGAGCAGGAAAGCAGGGGAUCGCAAGACCUUGCGCUGAUUGAGCGGCCGAUAUCAGAUUAGCUAGUUGGUGGGGUAAAGGCCUACCAAGGCGACGAUCUGUAGCGGGUCUGAGAGGAUGAUCCGCCACACUGGAACUGAGACACGGUCCAGACUCCUACGGGAGGCAGCAGUGGGGAAUUUUGGACAAUGGGGGCAACCCUGAUCCAGCCAUGCCGCGUGAGUGAAGAAGGCCUUCGGGUUGGUAAAGACUCUUUCGGUCCGGGAACGGAAAUACGGCACAGGCUAAUACCCUGUGUGGAUGACGGUACCGGAAUAAGAAGACACCGG